UCAGACGAUGCGUCAUGCAUAUCAAUAAGCGGAGGAAAAGAAACUAACAAGGAUUCCCCUAGUAACGGCGAGUGAAGCGGGAAGAGCUCAAAUUUGAAAUCUUAAAGGGUUUCCCUUUACGUAUUGUAGUUUAAAGAAGUGUUCUCUGUUGAGGUUUUGGUAAAAGUUCUUUGGAAUAGGACAUCAUAGAGGGUGAGAAUCCCGUAUUUGACCUUUACUUUCAACUUUGUGAUACACUUUCAAAGAGUCGGAUUGUUUGGGAAUGCAGUCCAAAAUGGGUGGUAAAUUUCAUCUAAAGCUAAAUAUUGGCGAGAGACCGAUAGCGAACAAGUACCGUGAGGGAAAGAUGAAAAGAACUUUGAAAAGAGAGUUAAACAGUACGUGAAAUUGUCAAAAGGGAAGCGUUUGACACCAGUGUUGUUUUUCUGAAAAUCAAUUAAAGAACUGUUUAUGCUAAGCUGUUUAGACUUUAUCAGUUAAUCUGUUUAGUUUUGAGCUUUUCUUUAAUGCACUUUUCAGUUAACAAGUCAACAUCAAUUUCUUUUGCUGUAAAAAAGCUUGAGGAAGGUGGCUUGAGAUUCGUCUUAAGUGUUUAUAGCCUCUUGCCUAUGCAGUCGGAGAGAUUGAGGUCCGCAGCGUAGAUCCUUCGGGGCUAAAUGCAUUUGUGCUAAGUUAUAGCAUUUCAUAGACAACUUGUUGACUAUGAUUUGUCUUGUAGCUUACUCGCUUAUGUUAUUUUACCUACGCUUAGGAUGUUGACACACGCGCGUGCUCG
This 775-nucleotide ribosomal RNA is filed under the name uncultured Neocallimastigales. RNAcentral describes it as "partial large subunit ribosomal RNA". It matches the Rfam family "Eukaryotic large subunit ribosomal RNA", at positions 18 to 656 of the family's 3401-position model. The record is from RNAcentral. Lineage: Eukaryota; Fungi; Neocallimastigomycota; Neocallimastigomycetes; Neocallimastigales.